Molecule: long non-coding RNA, 1768 nt
Filed under: Homo sapiens (human)
Lineage: Eukaryota; Metazoa; Chordata; Mammalia; Primates; Hominidae
Description: HSALNT0018617
Source: RNAcentral
CGCGCCUGGCUCUCCUCCCCGGGGCGGGGCCUGCGGAGGCCGCCGGGGCGCAGCGCGCUGGGGAGCGGGUUGGGGGCUGCUAGGGCUGCGGGGCGGGAAGGAGGCGGCAGUGUGUGUGUGUGUGUGUGUGUGUGUGUGUGGGCAGGUGUGUGUGUGUGUGUACGUGUGUGCGCGCGCGCCCUGCAGCGGCCGGCCAGCCGGAGGGAAGACCCCGGCGGGAAGACUGCGUCCCGUCCGGCCUUCCCGGGCCUGUCACUUGGGCGGUGGCGUGGGAGCGGCGAGGCUGCUCGGGGGGCAGCCGGGUGGGCCCAGCUCUAGGGGAGAUUCGGGUCAGCCCCUGAGCCCAGCCUCCCGGCUGUGCCUGCUGGAAGCAGACGGAGGGAAGGCCGGGCGUCUUUGGCCCACCGCGCGGCCGCUCCCCUCCCGGGCCAGGCUGAACGGGCGGGCGCAGCCCAGAGGCCCGGGCUCUGCCACCGAUCCGCCUCCAUACUGACCCGAGCUGCGGCGCCUGCAAGAUUAAUGAAGCAUCCGCGAUUCGGUAGAGGCGGCACGGGGAGGAAAGACACAAGAUCGUGCUGCCCCCCUCUCCCCACCCUUCUCAGCCUCCUAGGACCUAAAGGCGUAGGCUGCGUCUGCUGGGCGCGUCCGGAGUGGUCCAGAGAGAUCGCCAUCCACCACUGCAUCCGUCCAGUUCUUUGUGGACCCUCACAGAAGCUCAAUCAAUUUCCCACCCUCUGGAAAAGGACACGCGAGGAAUGUCAGGCCCCCAGAGUGAGAACACCCAAGAAAACAAUAGGGGCAAAAGAUCCUCCCUGGGCCUCGCGGAUUAUGCACAAACCAGAUCAUUUCCCACAUUCGGCCAGGGUGAAGAUGGAAAAUGGAAAAGAACGCCAUCAGAGUGGUGACACUGACGAGAAAAGCCAAUUCAUAAUUUAGUUUAAUGAAAUGAGUUAGUAAUCAACCACUAAUGUCUAGGAAAUUGGCCUUUUUUGAAAACUGGUUUUCCCUUUCUCCACCCCUUUUUUUUUCAAAUUAAAAGACUAGUAUCCCACUGUUGUUGUUUUAAUUUUUAUUGUUUUCAGGGAUGGGGUCUGCUGCCAAGGCUGGAUUCGAACUCCUGAACCCAAGAGAUCCUCCUCAAGGGAUCUUCCCCAUCUCAGCCUCCCAAGUAGCUGGGACUACAGGCCAAUUCCACCGCACCCUGCCUAACAUCACAUUGUUCAGGAACCUCAACUUACAUUCCAUUUUUACAAAAUAUCCAUAUUCUGGUUCAUACUUCUUGGAGCCCAAAUUUUUUGUAGUCUAGCCUCUUGGAAAGGAGCGGUUAAGAAGGGAGGGUAGAUAAAUUGAGAUUUCAAUCAGGGGCAGCCAGCCCCAUCCCUUUCACCACUGGUGACUUGUUUCAUUUCUUCUUUCUUUCCUCAUCUGUAAAGGCAUUGAUAAUGAUCGUUCCUACCUCAUAAGCUUGUGAAAGUAAAAAGAAAAUAAAACGAGGUGGCAAUGCAUGUAAAACACUUUGCAUAGUGCCUGACACAUGGGUGAGAACUCAAUAAAUAGAAGCUAUUGUUUCAGACUUGAUUAUUUUAAACUCAAAUUUGGUAGAAUUUUAUUCUCUUUCCAUUCCUUCUGAAAAGUUAGGGAGGAGAAUGGACACAGCUGAUGGAUUUAUUCAAAUGUAGUCCACUCUUCCCUUGGGUUUUUACGCCCUGCCUGAAACUUUUGCCUGUGGUAAAAUGAAAUAAAUACAUAACUGAGGGGUGUGUGUGUG